AAAAGGAGCUACAGAGACAGAGACGGUGCAGUUCCUCACUAGAGCUGGAGGAGCAUGGAUGGUGUGUCUGGCUGAGGAAACUGCAGCACAAUGGACAGCCCAGUGCUAGUAGGGACUGGGCGAGCAAGGAAGAGCUCCUGGAUGGCUACUGGGCCUGAGCUUAGAAGAGCCCUGAGCUAAAGUGGCAGCAGAAAUAAAAACUAUCAUCAGACUCAUACAGCAACAGAGAAGAGCUUGGAUUUUGGACCUAACAUGACAAAUAUAUGGACAGGCACAGCACUGGAGAUGUCAGGAUCCUUCAAGAUAAGUGUCCCACAGUGCAGCGAUGGACAGUGAGAUGAAGAUAAGUCUUCCCAAGACACGAUGGAAUGCAACGUGGCAAACCACUGGCCAGGUGGUCUGGGUGAAGGGCCUUCACAGGAGGUACAAGCUUAAUAAUGCCUUGGAGGUCAGCUCAGGAGACUUCAUCUUCUUCUGUGAAAUGCUACACUUGGUUUGAUCUGUAUCAAAGAAAAUGAAAGUUGCUUUCACGUGCUCAGGAGGGAUAUGGAAAAAAAAGUCAUUGCUUGGGUGUUGUCACCAGGAAGAGAACUAUAUCACUGCAAUGGAAAUAUAUGAAAUCAACAUGCUCGUAGUUCUGUCACAAAACAACCAAACAGCAUGCUGUGAUUGCUGGUAUUGACCGUGAUUAGCAGGACUGAAUUAAAAAUAGCUGCCUUGUAAAAAAAUGUCUGGGCAAGCAGUCACUGAGAAAUGCAAGCAAACGCAAUCAACGGUGUUUGUUCACCAAAAGUAAUGACUGCCCACCUGGGCCAGAUGGAACCCAAAUUGUUGACCCAGAGGACUCAUCUAUUUUCCUUUGCUUUUUAUGGGAGGAAAAGGCUGAUUGCCUAGCAGUGGAAGCUUAUUAUUUUGUAAUAUCCUAUUUUAAAGGGGCACAUUUCUAUUACAUGAGUUGGGAUUGGUUUUGAUGAGGAAGUCCUCUUUUGUUUUUUUUACUUAUUUCUGUGUACUUUAAUACUUGUACAAGUUCUAGA
Long non-coding RNA from Mauremys mutica (yellowpond turtle), 1037 nucleotides. RefSeq lists it as uncharacterized. The transcript has 4 exons. NCBI's taxonomy places the organism in Eukaryota, Metazoa, Chordata, Testudines, Geoemydidae. The record is from RefSeq and is a predicted model, not a curated record.